RNAcentral lists this ribosomal RNA (397 nucleotides) under uncultured bacterium. Its description in RNAcentral is "bacterial SSU rRNA". It matches the Rfam family "Bacterial small subunit ribosomal RNA", at positions 362 to 776 of the family's 1533-position model. The record is from RNAcentral.
UAUUGCACAAUGGGGGCAACCCUGAUGCAGCGACGCCGCGUGAGCGAAGAAGUAUCUCAGUAUGUAAAGCUCUAUCAGCAGGGAAGAAGAUGACGGUACCUGACUAAGAAGCUCCGGCUAACUACGUGCCAGCAGCCGCGGUAAUACGAAGGGGGCAAGCGUUAUCCGGAUUUACUGGGUGUAAAGGGAGCGUAGACGGCGACGCAAGUCUGGAGUGAAAGCCCGGGGCCCAACCCCGGGACUGCUUUGGAAACUGUGCUGCUGGAGUGCAGGAGAGGUAGGUGGAAUUCCUAGUGUAGCGGUGAAAUGCGUAGAUAUUAGGAGGAACACCAGUGGCGAAGGCGGCUUACUGGACUGUAACUGACGUUGAGGCUCGAAAGCGUGGGGAGCAAACAGG